GACGAACGCUGGCGGCGUGCUUAACACAUGCAAGUCGAACGGUGAAGCGCCUGCCUUUUUGGGGGGUGUGGAUGAGUGGCGAACGGGUGAGUAACACGUCAGUAACCUUCCCCCUUCUUCUUGAUAACCGCAUGAAAGUGUGGCGAAUACGGGAUAUUCUGCGUCUGUCGCAGGAUGGGUCUGGUUAAGAUAUUGUUUCGGUGGGGGAUGGGCUCACGUCCUAUCAGCUUGUUGGUGUGGUGAUGGCCUACGAAGGCGGUGACGUGUAGCCGGCCUGAGAGGGUGGAGGGUCACGUCGGGAAUGAGACACGGCCACGACGGCUACGGGAGGCAGCCGUGGCGCAUAUUGGAGGAUGCGGGCAAGACUGAUGCGGAGUGGGCGAGUGAGGGAUGGAGCCAUGCGGGUUGUGAGAUUCUGGUGCUAGUGAUGUAGGACUGUCUCGUUUGUGGGGGGGUUGACGGUAGCUGGAUAAGAAGCGCCGGCUAACUACGUG
Molecule: ribosomal RNA, 494 nt
Filed under: uncultured bacterium
Lineage: Bacteria
Description: partial 16S ribosomal RNA
Rfam family: Bacterial small subunit ribosomal RNA
Source: RNAcentral